This 1167-nucleotide long non-coding RNA is filed under the name Pongo abelii (Sumatran orangutan). RNAcentral's name for it is "lncRNA (ENSPPYG00000037883.1)". Lineage: Eukaryota; Metazoa; Chordata; Mammalia; Primates; Hominidae. The record is from RNAcentral.
GACUGUUUAACUGUUCCCAUUUGUAUGUUCCAAUCACUUCAGGACUGAGAAGGACGGGGCAGCCACCAGAGUGGAUGCUGUCUGUACCUACCAUCCUGACCCCACGAGCCCUGGGCUGGACAGAGAGCAUUUGUACCAGGAACUGAGCCAGCUGACCCAUGACAUCACCCAGCUGGGGCCCUACACCCUGGACAGAAACAGCCUCUAUGUUAAUGGUUAUAACCGUCGGUACCGGACCCCUGCCACUAGCAGUGAGUAUUCAAACCUGUGAUAUUCCAAUGGCUUUGGGACCCUUCCUCCCCAAGGUGCAUUCCUCAGAAGAGAAACUGAUCAUUCUCCCUCCCUACGUGCCCAGUCACAGCCUCAGAGCAGCCCCUAACCCAUCAAGGUCUUGGUGUGAGUCAAGACAGAAGCCCAAAUUCCAAUUAGCUGUUCCUGUCCCAUAUUCCUUUAGGAGGACACCCAAUCAUUUCUCUAUGUUCUUUUUUUCUCAGCUCCAGUGACUUCUACAUUCUCCCCAGGGAUUUCCACAUCCUUCAUCCCCAGCUCCACAGGUAGGAAGCUCCUCUCUGGCAUCUAUGAAAUUUAACACUGCAUGGUCUGUUCCCUGCUGACCACCCAGACUCAGCCUGUUCCACUCUCCCUCUCACUCUCUCUUUUUUUUUUUUUUUAUGGAGUCUUGCUCUGUCACCCAGGCUGGAGUGGAAUGGUGUGAUCUCAGCUCACUUCAACCUUCGCCUCCCAGGUUCAAGUGAUUCUCCUGCCUCAGCCUCCCGAGUAGCUGGGAUUACAGGUGCACGCCACCACGCCUGGCUAAUUUUUUGUAUUUUUAGUAGAGGCGGGGUUUCACCAUGUUGGCCAGGCUGGUCUCGAACUCCUGACCUCAAGUGAUCCACCCGCCUCGGCCUCCCAAAGUGCUGGGAUUAUAGGCAUGAGCCACCACGCCAGGCCCACUCUCUAAAUUUUGACCACCCCAGGCACUUGAGUGGUCUUCUAGCACCCUAACCUCUGUCCAACCUCAGGAGCUUUGCACUAGCGAUUCCUGGAGACCAGCUAUGGUUGGUAUCUUCUCAACUUUCUAAUUUUUUAAAAUUAAUUAUUAUUUUUUUUUUUGAGAUGGAGUCUCGCUCUGUCACCCAGGCUGGAGUGCAGUGGCAUGAUCUCGGC